RNAcentral lists this ribosomal RNA (491 nucleotides) under uncultured bacterium. RNAcentral describes it as "partial 16S ribosomal RNA". It matches the Rfam family "Bacterial small subunit ribosomal RNA", at positions 29 to 507 of the family's 1533-position model. The record is from RNAcentral.
AGUGAACGCUGGCGGUAGGCCUAACACAUGCAAGUCGAACGGCAGCACAGUAAGAGCUUGCUCUUACGGGUGGCGAGUGGCGGACGGGUGAGGAAUACAUCGGAAUCUACUUUUUCGUGGGGGAUAACGUAGGGAAACUUACGCUAAUACCGCAUACGACCUACGGGUGAAAGCAGGGGAUCUUCGGACCUUGCGCGAUUGAAUGAGCCGAUGUCGGAUUAGCUAGUUGGCGGGGUAAAGGCCCACCAAGGCGACGAUCCGUAGCUGGUCUGAGAGGAGGAUCAGCCACAGUGAAACUGAGCCACGACCCAGGGUCCUAGGGAAGGCAGAGGUGGGGAAUAUUGGACAAAGGGCGCAAGCCUGAACAGCCAUACCGCGUGGGUGAAGAAGGCCUUCUGGUUGUAAAGCCCUUUUGUUGGGAAAGAAAAGCAGCAGGUUAAUACCCCGCUGUUCUGACGGUACCCAAAGAAUAAGCACCGGCUAACUUCGUG